RNAcentral lists this ribosomal RNA (119 nucleotides) under Candidatus Uhrbacteria bacterium. The record is from RNAcentral. Lineage: Bacteria; Candidatus Uhriibacteriota.
CUUGGUGCUUGCAGCGAUGGGGGUACACCUGUUCCCAUCCCGAACACAGCAGUUAAGCCCAUUAGCAGCGAUGGUACUUGGACCCAAUCCGGUCCCGGGAGAGUAGCCCAGCGCCAAGA